RNAcentral lists this ribosomal RNA (253 nucleotides) under uncultured bacterium. RNAcentral's name for it is "partial 16S ribosomal RNA". It matches the Rfam family "Bacterial small subunit ribosomal RNA", at positions 524 to 776 of the family's 1533-position model. The record is from RNAcentral.
UACGUAGGUGGCAAGCGUUGUCCGGAAUUAUUGGGCGUAAAGUGCGCGCAGGCGGUCCUUUAAGUCUGAUGUGAAAGCCCACGGCUCAACCGUGGAGGGUCAUUGGAAACUGGGGGACUUGAGUGCAGGAGAGAAAAGUGGAAUUCCACGUGUAGCGGUGAAAUGCGUAGAGAUGUGGAGGAACACCAGUGGCGAAGGCGACUUUUUGGCCUGUAACUGACGCUGAGGCGCGAAAGCGUGGGGAGCAAACAGG